AAAAAAAAAAAAAAAGGGAAAAUUUUCCAAAUAUGUAGCAUGCAAUCUGAGAACUCUUGAGAAGCAGUCUUUGCCCUUACCAAUUUUCUUGGGAAGGAAAGUCCGGUAAAUUUUAGGCAGCAAACCACCAGUGGCUGUGGUAAUAGAGACCAGAAGCUUUCUCCUUAUCAUUCCUUAUAGCAAGCUGAACCACACCACUGAAGAGAUUAUUACGAGUGAAAGAGAAGGAAAGAAAAUUUGAGAUGCUUUAUUCAAGUUGGGGAGAGAAGAAAGCCAGCUGAGCAGGCAAUGAGUAUGUAGUGGCUGAACCUAGCAACCUCAAUUGGCUCGAUGAGGGUGGUGUGGGAGCAGUCAAAGUAGUAGUGCAGAGGUUGGAGUGAGCAGAAGAACAUGCAGUUAUUUACAAUGACUGUUCUAGCGGUGGGGGAAAGCGUAUGAGGCAGAGCUGCAGUGGUGCCAGGGAGACGAUAUCAUUUCUACUUUGAUGAUGAGAACGCCGAGGCCAUGAUGAAAACACAAAGUGGGAUGAGGAAAGAAAUGGGAGAGAACAAGAGAGUGGUUUGAGGGCUUUGGAAGAGGCCAUGUUCAUGGUGAGGGGGAGAGGUGAGAGAGAAGGGGAUAAAGGAGGGGAAGGGAAGGGGAUGGGAGAGGGACCUGGUAGGUUAGGUGAGGGGUAAACAUAUCAAUUCUAAUUUUUUUUUUUUCAAAUUACCUGUCACGUUGGCAAAUUAAUCAACAAACUAGCAAUAAUAAGUUGAAAGGGUUUCAUAUUACUCAAAUUAAAAUUCAUAGGGUUUUGUCUCACAAAUUGAAUGAUGAUAUUGUUAUAACACUCUAAGUUUAGGGACAACAGGUGCAAUUUACUCAUAUUUGGAUUUUGGAUAAAAAUAGUUGUCUGCUUCUCCUUGGUUGAGCUGAAAUAGAUGAUAUGAGCAUUUCCCUUUUAUACCUACAAAUGUGCAUAGCUUUUCAAUGCCUAUUUAUUUUGCUCUCUUAUCUCAAGGGAGUAUGAUUUAUUGCCAAUUCCAGCCAAAUGCAUACACUGGCACUUGAACUGUACCUGAAAAGUCUAGAAGCAUUUUUAUUAUGUUCUAUUUGGUCCUUAUACUUUUAUUUUUUGAAUCAAUAGGCCAUUAGUUGAACAAAUUUUUGGUUCAUUUACCAUAGGCAUAUUGACACAACAAAAAUGUUGAUAUCACUCUUUUUAUUUGUUGACUUUUUAACUUAUUUUUCAACAUAUCUUUCACAUUUAUAUUGUUUUCAAAUGAAAAUUUUUAAUUAAAUUAAUAUUGUUAAAAGACUAUGUCAAUAUUUUUAGAGUCGUUUUUACUUAUUUUACCUGUGUGUUGACAUGAUUCAUUGACCAAAUAAAUUUACAUUUAAUAUAUAUAAAAAUAGAAGUUAAAGUGUUUGAUAGGCUGAAAUAAAAGUUUUGAGUGCCACCAGACUUUUCAGUGAAAGUACAUAGUGUAAUUUAUCAUACUUGGCCAAUUGCUGAAUAUGUAUAUAUUAAUGUUACUGAUUCAGGAAUGGCCAGCAGAAGAGUACCCACCCUAUGCAAA
RNAcentral lists this unclassified non-coding RNA (1562 nucleotides) under Hevea brasiliensis (rubber tree). The record is from RNAcentral. Lineage: Eukaryota; Viridiplantae; Streptophyta; Magnoliopsida; Malpighiales; Euphorbiaceae.